This 445-nucleotide ribosomal RNA is filed under the name uncultured bacterium. RNAcentral describes it as "bacterial SSU rRNA". It matches the Rfam family "Bacterial small subunit ribosomal RNA", at positions 940 to 1385 of the family's 1533-position model. The record is from RNAcentral.
CGCGCUCCGAUGCUCUAGAUUACGCGAAGACCUUACCAAGGCUUGACAUAUAGAGGAAAAGUGCAGAAAUGUACUCCCCGUAAGGUCUCUAUACAGGUGGUGCAUGGUUGUCGUCAGCUCGUGUCGUGAGAUGUUGGGUUAAGUCCCGCAACGAGCGCAACCCUCGUCCUAUGUUGCCAGCACGUUAAGGUGGGAACUCAUGGGAUACUGCCGGGGUCAACUCGGAGGAAGGUGGGGAUGACGUCAAAUCAUCAUGCCCCUUAUGUCUUGGGCUUCACGCAUGCUACAAUGGCCGGUACAGAGGGCAGCAAUACCGCAAGGUGGAGCGAAUCCCAGAAAGCCGGUCUCAGUUCGGAUUGAGGUCUGCAACUCGACCUCAUGAAGUCGGAGUCGCUAGUAAUCGCGAAUCAGCAACGUCGCGGUGAAUACGUUCCCGGGUCUUGUA